This is a long non-coding RNA of Equus caballus (horse), 4530 nucleotides long. Lineage: Eukaryota; Metazoa; Chordata; Mammalia; Perissodactyla; Equidae. The record is from Ensembl.
CACAGUAAUGAGACCCUGAUUUUGUCCAGGAUGGCAAUGUGCCAAGUCCCAGAUGGUCUAGAUCAGGGCUGGCGAUUUUUUUGUUGUUGUUAAAGAGCCUGUUAGAAAACAUUUUGGGCUUUGUGGCCAUACAGUAUUUAUUACAACUGCUCAUUUCUGCCAUUAUAGUGCAAGAGCAGCCAUAGACAAUACGUAAACGCGUGGGCAUAGCAAUGUUGAAAAACCCCACAAAAACUCUAUUUACAAAAGGUAAUGGGGCAGAUUCGUUACCAGGGCUGUAGUUUGCUGACCUCUGAUUCUAAGCCAAAUAUUUUGAUUUCAGGAACUCUUCACACCCUUAAGAAUUAUUAAGGACACCAAAGAGCUUUUGUUUAUGUGGGUUACAUCUAUCAAUGUUUUACAUGUAAAAAUUAAAACUGAGAAUUUAAAAAAACAUUUAUUUCAUUUAAAAAUAAUAGUAAGCCCAUUGGUAUAAAACAACUGUGUUUUCCAAAACAAAGAACUAGUGAGACAAUAUUUUUCAGUUUGCAAACCUCUUUAACAUCUGCCUUGCUUGAAGACCGUUGGAUGCUCGUAUCUUCUUCUGUGUUGUCUGGUGCGAUAUGUGGUUUUAGUCGAAAAUUCAGUGUCAUACAGAGGUGUAGUUGGAAAGGAAGACCUUGCAGAACCAUGGCAAAGGAGACCCUCAGGACACUCUGAGGACCACUGGCCCAUGUUGAUCAUGGGGGUUUUCUCAUGUGCUAGAUACUCAGCUUCCCAGCCUCCUUUGCAGCUGUGGUGAUGAUGUGACCCGGUUGCAGCUUGCCUUGUGCUAACUAGUGGACGUGGGCAAUUUGGUUAACCUCUUUGGGCUUCAUUUGGAAAAUGGGAAUAAAAAUAAUGCCUAAUUCAUCUGAGCACUGUAAAGAUUUAAUAAGUUACACAUAUAAAGCACCUAUUUUAAUGUCUGACACAUAGUAAGCAAGCGAGUGAUACCUAUGAUGAUACCUAUGAUACCUUUGAUGAUGAUGAUGAUUACAGUCGAUCAGAUCUCAGGAAUAUCGGCUUAGGGUAGCACUAGGUAGUGCUUACUUUCAUAGUAAAAGGACUGGUGCCCCAAAGUGUGGACACAGUCCCUACUCAGUUUUGUGAGGCAGCACUUUAUACCAGGCUGUGAACCACAGGGGCGAACAGAGGAAUCACAACCAAGAGCAGGAAGCAGGAUAACACUGGAUAUCCGACAUCACUGCCUCUGAAAUCUGAUGGUCAAUGCAGUCCCAGAGAUGAACCUAUGGUCUUCUUUGUCCUUAGGUUCUGGAUGGCUGCCAUGUUGCUGGUACCCACUUCAUCUACAAAUGCUCUGUGAUAAGCGGAAUUCUAAAGAUGUCCCCCAAGACAUCAGUCCUCUGGUUAAUCAAACACUAACCUAGGUACUGUUGUGAAGGGGCUUUAUAGAUAUAAUUAAGUUUACGAAACAGCUGAUGAAAUAGAGCAGCCUGGGUUAUCCAGGUGGCCCCAAUCUAAUCAUUGGGGCCCAUAAAAGCAGAUAAAUUUAUUCAGCUGGAGUCAAAGAUGCAGUAGAAGAGGAAAGCAGAGGAGAGGUAAGGAAGGAGAGAGAUCAGAGAGAUGUGACACAUGAGAAGAGCUUAGCCAUUGUUGGCUUUGAAGAUGGAGGAGGCAGAGUGAGAGCCAAAAAAUAAGGGUGUCCUCUAAAAGCUGUGUGAGACCCGGAUGAAAGCCAGUAAGGAAACAGAGACCUCCAUCCUACAACCUCAUGGACCUGAAUCCUGCCAACAACCUAAAUGAGCCUGGAAGCAGAUUUUCACCCAGAGCUUCCAGUGAGGAAUACAGCCCUGCCGUCUUCUUGAUGUUAGCCCCAUGAGAGCCUGUCGAACUUCUGAUCUGCAGAAACUUGCGGUAAUCAAUUUUGCUGUUUUAAGCUGCCAAGUUUGUGGUAAUUUGUUACCGUAGCCAUGGAAAACUAGUAUCUCCUCUCACCUUGGGAUUGGUCCAUGCUGGUGGCCUCACCCUACCGCCUGCCUGGAGAACAAUCUGUCCACCUAAGCAGGACACCUUUUGUUUAUUAUGCAGAACAGAUUGGCUCUUCCCUGUGUCAGCUUAAUCCUCACAGAACACGUAACAGACUCGAAUAGCGCCUCAUCAUGGCCUCUCAACAAAACUCUCAGACCAAGAGGACCCAACGAGGGCUCUUCAUGGAUCAGAACGUUAUUGCUUUUGGCCAAAGCUAUUGCAGAACUGACAGUCACCGAGUCUUCAAAAUACAACAUAAGACGAAGGGCACUCAUUCUGUCCUGGGAGCUCCACCUUGAAAAAAGAAAAGAAGACCCCACUCCACCCACUGCUGACUCCUUCAAAGUGGAGAGACGACCUUUGACUCUUCAGCUCACCAUCUCCCCCACCCCUCAUAGACGCUCUGGCUGCAAGGGACACCUCAGCGACUGUUUCUUAGUGGGUCUCAUGCUGUGUUAACCCUUGGGCAAUGUCUGGAUCUCUGACUUCAGGUUCCUUAUCUACAUAAUUUCGAAAAGAAUACCUUGCAGGAAGAUUAGCGCAACAUCUGCCACCAAUCCUCCUCUUUUUGCUGAGGAAGACUGGCCCUGAGCUAACAUCAUGCCCAUCUUCCUCUACUUUAUAUGUGAGAUGCCUGCCACAGCAUGGCUUCCAAGCAGUGCCAUGUCUGCACCCAGGAUCCAAACCAGCGAACCCCGGGCCAUCGAAGUAGAACGUGUGAACUUAAUCUCUGUGCCACCAGGCCGGCCCCUUACAUUGUUUUUUAAAGAUUAAGAUGGGGGAUAUAAGUUAUUAUCUGAACUUGGGCUCAAAGGUUUUGAAGCCUUUCAGGCAGAAACCUACUUGGUAGAGUGAGCCAGGCCGUAUUUAGAGUGCCACUCCUUCUGGAACCCAGCUGGUGUCUCAGGGGCAUCCUUGAUAUGUUGAUAUGUUUGCAGGGGUUUCUAAACUCACCUUCCCACUUUUUGCUUACAAAUUACAUUGUGAAUUUAUUGAUUUUUCCUCCUAAUAUUUUUGGCCAUGAGAACAAAAUAUAUGAGGUUAUUUUGUGUUCCUUCCCAAGCCUUGGGAGGUAGUUUCACUUCCUUAUGGUAACGCAGUCCAAAAGAGAAUUUAGUUUCAUCUUCUCCAAUAUUAUUCUAGAUUCAAAAAUAUCUUUAAGCUUUCAUAAAUCUGUAAUUGUUGACAGAUUUGUAGUUAACACAUCUCAAAUAUUUAGGCUCAGGCAUUUAAAAUUCCAACAAUAAUGAUAACAAAGAUAAAACAAUUAUUGUCUGCAAUAAAUGAUCCACAGCAACAAAUUUUAGAAGAAUAGUUGAUGAGUGACUUGCGUUUCCAUGAUUGGGGGCGACUGGGGUUGAGGGCGUGAAGAACUCGGCCAGAUGGAAGGAUGGAGAAGCAGAUAACCUAAGCGAGCCACUCAUUUCUCGACCUGGAAAGACGGGAACCCUCCUCUGAGGGACUGGCUGCUCUUUCUAGUCAUUUACUACAGGGCUCUUCAUUUCUCUUCCGGGAGCCUGUAAAGCUCAUAUCCAAGGUGCACAUCCGCACCGGCCCCAGGUUUCUGAAGUUUCUCUGGGACACAGUAAGUGAGGCAAAUGUUUUCAAUGAAAUCCGCAUCAUGUUCUUCUUUGUGCAAGUUCAUAUUUUGGUUGACAUGAUAACCAUAAAUAUUUAACAUUCUAAAAGCUGUGGCUUCCCAGCCCCACCCGCCCGAUGGGAGACCACGUUGCAUGCAUUAAUUUACAACCCACUUUCAUUUCAAGCUGGUCGAUAAUAUUUCAUAAGGUAGGAAACCAGAUGGCAUGAUUUGGUGGAGAGAUGAAAAGAGCAGAGGGUGCCUUAGAGACCCAAAGACCAAAUUCGGAGAGGGAGGGUAGACAUCGUUUUGUGAGUGGGACACUGUCUUUGUUUUUUCUUAAUCUUGACAAAAUUUUCUUUUUCCCACACUGAAGAAAUUAACCGCAACAUUUUAAGAAGAAGUGAAAGGUCUCCUUCUUGUGCUGACUCCUUCCUCCUCCCCACCCACCCUCACACACACACACACACACACACACACACACACGCGCGCGGUAGCAGACGUGCUGCUGAAAGGUGUUGCCGCCCAAGGACCAACAGAAAUUAGGAGACAGGGCUCUACCCACUGAAGCUGGACACAGUGUGCUGUCCAUUUGACCCAGUUGAACAAAUGUGGUGUUUUGAAAAAUGACCCUCACUUGACAUUUACAAGAUAUCAAAUGAUCUAUUUGAAUGUCAUUAUUUAAGCAAUUGCUUUUCGAGCUUGUGGACAGUCUAAUUCUCAUCAAUUUCACCUUUAAUUUAGAAGAGGAAUGAUAACCAAUGGAAGGAAGAAGAAGAAGAAAAAACAACCCACAACAGAGGCCUGUGUCCUUAUGUUCCAGAGUGGUUUUUCAUUCAGAGUGUUUUCUGUAAAUGUGCUUUUGAAUAAACCUAAAACUGACAAGUAAAGGGUUGAGUAGAAAUAAAUUCUUCCUUUUUUAGCUGGGACUAGAAAAAGGG